RNAcentral lists this ribosomal RNA (119 nucleotides) under Pteropus alecto (black flying fox). The record is from RNAcentral. Lineage: Eukaryota; Metazoa; Chordata; Mammalia; Chiroptera; Pteropodidae.
GUCUACGGCCAUGCCACCCUGAACAAGCUCGAUCCCGUCUGAUCUUGGAAGCUAAGCAGGAUCGGGCCUGGUUAGUACUUGGAUGGGAGACCACCUAGGAAGACCAGGUGCUGUAGGUG